GUGCUCACUUCAGCGGCACAUACAGUAAAAUUGGAAGGAAACAGAGAAGAUUAGCAUGGCCCCUGAACAAAGAUGACACUCAAAUUCAUGAAGCAUUCCAAAAUAAA
Molecule: small nuclear RNA, 107 nt
Organism: Eptesicus fuscus (big brown bat)
Lineage: Eukaryota; Metazoa; Chordata; Mammalia; Chiroptera; Vespertilionidae
Source: RefSeq, a predicted model, not a curated record